CGAACGCUGGCGGCGUGCUUAACACAUGCAAGUCGAACGGAAAGGCCCUGCUUUUGUGGGGUGCUCGAGUGGCGAACGGGUGAGUAACACGUGAGUAACCUGCCCUUGACUUUGGGAUAACUUCAGGAAACUGGGGCUAAUACCGGAUAGGAGCUCCUGCUGCAUGGUGGGGGUUGGAAAGUUUCGGCGGUUGGGGAUGGACUCGCGGCUUAUCAGCUUGUUGGUGGGGUAGUGGCUUACCAAGGCUUUGACGGGUAGCCGGCCUGAGAGGGUGACCGGCCACAUUGGGACUGAGAUACGGCCCAGACUCCUACGGGAGGCAGCAGUGGGGAAUAUUGCACAAUGGGCGGAAGCCUGAUGCAGCAACGCCGCGUGCGGGAUGACGGCCUUCGGGUUGUAAACCGCUUUCGCCUGUGACGAAGCGUGAGUGACGGUAAUGGGUAAAGAAGCACCGGCUAACUACGUGCCAGCAGCCGCGGUGAUACGUAGGGUGCGAGCGUUGUCCGGAUUUAUUGGGCGUAAAGGGCUCGUAGGUGGUUGAUCGCGUCGGAAGUGUAAUCUUGGGGCUUAACCCUGAGCGUGCUUUCGAUACGGGUUGACUUGAGGAAGGUAGGGGAGAAUGGAAUUCCUGGUGGAGCGGUGGAAUGCGCAGGUAUCAGGAGGAACACCAGUGGCGAAGGCGGUUCUCUGGGCCUUUCCUGACGCUGAGGAGCGAAAGCGUGGGGAGCGAACAGGCUUAGAUACCCUGGUAGUCCACGCUGUAAACGGUGGGUACUAGGUGUGGGGUCCAUUCCACGGGUUCCGUGCCGUAGCUAACGCUUUAAGUACCCCGCCUGGGGAGUACGGCCGCAAGGCUAAAACUCAAAGGAAUUGACGGGGCCCCGCACAAGCGGCGGAGCAUGCGGAUUAAUUCGAUGCAACGCGUAGAACCUUACCUGGGUUUGACAUGGAUCGGGAGUGCUCAGAGAUGGGUGUGCCUCUUUUGGGGUCGGUUCACAGGUGGUGCAUGCCUGUCGUCAGCUCGUGUCGUGAGAUGUUGGGUUAAGUCCCGCAACGAGCGCAACCCUUGUUCACUGUUGCCAGCACGUUAUGGUGGGGACUCAGUGGAGACCGCCGGGGUCAACUCGGAGGAAGGUGGGGAUGACGUCAAGUCCUCAUGCCCCUUAUGUCCAGGGCUUCACGCAUGCUACAAUGGCUGGUACAGAGAGUGGCGAGCCUGUGAGGGUGAGCGAAUCUCGGAAAGCCGGUCUCAGUUCGGAUUGGGGUCUGCAACUCGACCUCAUGAAGUCGGAGUCGCUAGUAAUCGCAGAUCAGCAACGCUGCGGUGAAUACGUUCCCGGGGCUUGUACACACCGCCCGUCAAGUCAUGAAAGUUGGUAACACCCGAAGCCGGUGGCCUAACCGUUGUGGGGGAGCCGUCGAAGGUGGGACUGGUGAUUAGG
Molecule: ribosomal RNA, 1442 nt
Filed under: uncultured organism
Description: 16S ribosomal RNA
Rfam family: Bacterial small subunit ribosomal RNA
Source: RNAcentral